Musa acuminata subsp. malaccensis (wild Malaysian banana) is the source of this 838-nucleotide non-coding RNA. Lineage: Eukaryota; Viridiplantae; Streptophyta; Magnoliopsida; Zingiberales; Musaceae. The record is from RefSeq and is a predicted model, not a curated record.
GUCACGCCAUUCCCACCUUCUCCACUCAUUGUUCGUCUCUUUUUAAGCUUUUCUUGGUCUCAAACAACGACUAUACCUCUUUCUCUCUCUCUAGAUAUCUAUCUAUAAGUAUACUCCAUCUCUCACUCGAAUUCAAUGGCUGCGGUGUGGUUGUUGUCAUGUGGGUUUAACAAAGGGUCUCUCACAGAGGUUAUUUGGCAUUCUGUCCACCUCCAAGUACUGAUCCCUCUCUUAUACAUCCCCAAGGAGAACAACAACUCGAUGGAGGUGGGCAUCCUGCCAACUGACCUAUGUUGGCUUCUCUUUGUGAAACUCAUAUGAUAGAUCUUUUCGCCAAGUAUAAUUUCUGCAGUAAAGAAGAAGAAGAAGAAGAAGAAGAUCGAGUCCCCCACUAGGCUGGGAAGAGGAUGAGAGCUGACAACAUCAAAAGGAGAGAAAUAGAUAGGUGGACAUCAAAAUGGUGGAGUGCGUCAUUGCCUUCCCAUCGGGCGUCGAGCAAGAGGCUUGCUUGGGAAUCUCAAAGUCUCAGCAGACAACUUGAAGUCAGUAGGAAGGAGGAAUGCACAGUGAUGAAAGAGGCUAUAACUGGCAUUAGGGAGAAUGGACUUGCUCUAACACCAAUGUUUGGAUGUGAUCAUUACGAAUGAUCAGAUCAAGAGGAUGAAACCUUUUGUAAACAUACUGUUACCAUGUUAGGUAAAUGAUUGCUUACUCCCAAAUUGCAUCUGAGUUCACAUAAUAUAUUACUGAUGUUUUGAAAAGCUCAAUUGGCUUGCUUUUGUGGAGAUCAAAAGCUUGACAGUACUGGCAUUCUCUGGAUAUAUGUAUAUUGUUCUCA